AAUUCUGAAACACAUCAUUCUGUCAUCAGAUGGAUGACUUUGCUGCUGAUACUGGAGUCCAAGGGCUCUACUCAUUCUAGGUGAGAAUCUCAUAUAACCAUUAAAAAAUAGUUGUCAUUUGGAUGACAGUGUGCUGCACUUAGCAGCAACCUAAGAUUUCUUAUUUUUUUGCUCAAAGAAUAAAUCUGUUAAAAGCUCCUUUGUUGAAUUGGGAUCUAUGAGCCUUUUAAUAGGAUUUUUGAAAGGGAGUGGAAAAUUUACAGCUCCUGGUAAAUAGCCUGACAUGAAGUUAAGAUUAAUAGUAUUUUCUUCAGCCACACCAUCAAAGUUGAACCUACGGGCAGGAGUCUUUCUCAUUCUCAUCAAACAGUGCUAGGAACCAAAAAUUCUCUUUCUCAGGUGUAGUAUUCUCUUAAUCAGUGGUGAUAUAACACAGUUCUAUGGACCAUCCAGGUAUUUAAUAAGUAUUACAAUGAUUUGAUAUGUUCUUUGAUCCUUGAUAGAAUGGUUGGUCCCCUAACCUGGUCCUUUAUCCAGUGGCUCUGAUCUCAGGGAGAAGCAUCACUCCAUCCCAUUUGUGCAAGUCACAAUCCUGGCAGUUGUCCUGGACUCCUCUCUUUUUCCUCAUCCUUGUCCAUACUAGAUGCAGCACUGGGUCCUAAUGAUUUUACUUCUUAAAUGUUUCUUGAAACCAUCCACUUCUCUGCAUGGCCACCACUCUAUCCCAAGCCCUUAUCAUAUGUGCUUAGACCACUGCAGAAGCCACCUCCCCACAGCCAGUGUGAUCUUUCAGACACAUCUAUGAGACCUCCAGUGAUCUGCCGCUGGUGUUAGGAUAACGACCAAAGGCAGUUUCAUGGACGGUAAGUCCCUGCAUUGUCUGGUCCCCGUCUCUCUCUCCAGUCUCAUCUGGAGACAUUCUCCUCCCUGUUCCACGUGUUCCAGCCUCCUGGCCUUCACUGCAUGACGCAGGGUCUUAGUGCCUGUAAUUUCCUCUCCCUGAGAGUCUCUCCCCUGCUUUUUCUAAUUAUCUUCUCUUCAUCCUUUAUACAUCAGCUCAGCAUGAUGUCCUCAUGACUGCCUUUCCUGAUCUCCUGGCUAGAUAAGUCUCCUUUCUUCUCUGCUGUGUAGACCCACGCUCCACUCCUUCUUUAUGCUUUCAUAGACAUCAUAGACACUUGGCUUUGUUGUUUUUUGAUCGGUAUAUGUGUCCACUACAGAAUAUAAACGCUGUGAGCAGGGACCCUGCCCACAUAUGCUCAUUGUCACAUCCCCAGCACUCAGCACAGUGCUUGGAAAGCGUAGCUGCUCAAAACAUUUGUUGAAUGACUAAGUGGCUAUUUUUUAUUGAACGUUUAGGUAGAGGAAGAAGACCCCACUGGAUACAUUUGAUUGAAAAAUUUCUCCCAGUGAUGACCGAAGUACUGCUGGAAAGAAGUCUUAGAUCCAGCUAAACAUGGUCCUUUCUAAGGAAGAACUGAUCAAGAUAUGACUGAAGAAGGUGAGCCUUUUUCUCAGGCGGAAAUGGAAGAAAUGUUGUCUGCUGCAGUUGAUCCAGAAUCGAAUUCAGUUGAUUACAAGGACUACGUAACAAUGAUGGUGGCAGAUGAGACUUAAACACUUUAAAGACUUAAUUUCCAAUUGAAAGGAUAAUUUAAAAAAUUGUCCUUGUUAAUUUCACAUUUUAUCUUAUCAUUUCUACAUAUGAUAACUAAUGCUUUGU
Molecule: long non-coding RNA, 1723 nt
Organism: Equus caballus (horse)
Lineage: Eukaryota; Metazoa; Chordata; Mammalia; Perissodactyla; Equidae
Source: RefSeq, a predicted model, not a curated record